This 1719-nucleotide ribosomal RNA is filed under the name freshwater metagenome. RNAcentral's name for it is "bacterial LSU rRNA". It matches the Rfam family "Bacterial large subunit ribosomal RNA", at positions 233 to 2028 of the family's 2925-position model. The record is from RNAcentral.
GUUUCCCAGUCACGAUAGCGAGCGAAAAGGGAAGAGCCCAAACCGGGUCAGCGUGCUGAUCCGGGGUUAUAGGACUGCGUUUAGAAAUUGUUAUCAACCUGAAUCAUCUGGAAAGAUGAGCCAUAGCAGGUGAUAGCCCUGUAGGUGCAAAUUAACAAGGACGAGCAGUAUCCUGAGUAACGCGGGACCGGAGGAAUCUUGCGUGAAUUUGCCAGCACCAUCUGGUAAGGCUAAAUACUCCUCAGACACCGAUAGUGAACCAGUACCGUAAGGGAAAGGUGAAAAGCACCCCGAACAGGGGAGUGAAAUAGUACCUGAAACCGUGCGCCUACAAGCGGUCGGAGUCCCGAUUUAUCGGGAUGACGGCGUGCCUUUUGCAUAAUGAGCCUACGAGUUGCUCCUCACUGGCGAGGUUAAGUUCUUAUAUAACGGAGCCGAAGCGAAAGCGAGUCCAAAUAGGGCGAAUAGUCAGUGGGGGCAGACGCGAAACUUUGUGAUCUAUCCAUGGGCAGGUUGAAGGUGUGGUAACACACACUGGAGGACCGAACCCGUUGACGUUGAAAAGUCUUGGGAUGACCUGUGGAUAGGGGUGAAAGGCCAAUCAAACUGAGAGAUAGCUCGUUCUCCCCGAAAUGUUUUUAGGAACAGCGUUGCAUUAUGAAGUUUAUUAGAGGUAGAGCUACUGAUUGGGCUAGGGGGCUUCACCGCCUACCAAACCCUGACAAACUCCGAAUGCUAAUAAAUAUCUGCAGCAGUGAGGCUUUGGGCGCUAAGGUCCAGGGCCGAGAGGGAAAUAACCCAGAUUAGCAACUAAGGUCCCUAAUACGUAGUUAAGUUGAUCAAACGAGGUGGGAUUUCUAUAACAGCCAGGAUGUUGGCUUGGAAGCAGCCAUUCAUUUAAAGAGUGCGUAACAGCUCACUGGUCGAGAGAUCCUGCACGGAAAAUAAUCGGGCAUCAAACUACGAACCGAAGUUCUAAAUUCUAGCUUGCUAGAGUGGUAGGGGAGCAUUGAAAUCUGCAUCGAAGGUGUACGGCGACGUAUGCUGGAGCGAUUUCAAAAGAAAAUGUAGGCAUAAGUAACGAUAAUUAAAGUGAAAAACUUUAACGCGAAAAGUCUAAGGUUUCCUGAUCAACGUUAAUCGGAUCAGGGUUAGUCUGGUCCUUAGGAAAACCCGAAAGGGGCAUCUGAUGGAAAGAAGGUUAAUAUUCCUUCACCUACUAUGCAAUAAAAGUGACGCAGGGACGUGGUGGUUGCGUACGGACGGAAGUGUACGCCUGAGUGGAGUCUUCGGACGAAGCGAAAUCAUAAAAUCCCUGCCAAGAAAAGCGAGCAUAGCAGCCAGUACCGGAAUCCGACACAGGUAGACGGGAUGAGUAUUCUAACGCGCUCGGGUGAGCCGUGGAGAAGGAACUAGGCAAAUUGACGCUGUAACUUCGGGAUAAAGCCAACCACCUUCUGGGUGGUCUCAGUAAAAUGGUUCAACCAACUGUUUAACAAAAACACAGGGCCCUGCAAAAUCGUAAGAUGACGUAUAGAGCCUGAAACCUGCCCGGUGCUGGAAGGUUAAGGAAGGGUGUUCGGCGCAAGCCAAAGCUCCUGACUGAAGCCCCAGUAAACGGCGGCCGUAACUAUAACGGUCCUAAGGUAGCGAAAUUCCUUGUCGGGUAAGUUCCGACCUGCACGAAUGGUCUAAUGAGUUGAAAACUGUCUCCUCCAC